UUUAGAAUGUGACACUGUCUGGAGCUGGGUCUCUGUCUUUGUGUAAUGUUUGCAUAUUAGAAUGUUUGAGUUCCUAUCUGAGUAUACAUUUGAGCUGUUGUGUGUUCCUAUGUGUGUCUGCUGUAGGUCUCUGUGUGUUUUUAUCAAAGUAUGUCUGUGUAUACACAUUCACACACACACACACACACACACACACACACACUUGGCACUUGGCUCCCCUAAUAUGCUGAAUGGGCCAUUACGCCUCUUGCAUGUGGGGCUGGGGGUGGAUGGGGGGGGGACAGAGGAAGGCAGCAGGAUUCUGUAAGAACAUUAAAUCCCAAAUAAAGUAGAAAAUAUUUUUUAAAAUUACCGACUUCCCGUUUUCUCCGAAAUGGAGUGAAACGAGGCUGGUCCCGAGGCGGGGGCUCCGCGGGGCCAGCCACUGGAAAGGGGCAGCGCUUUAUUUUUUAUUUUUGUAAUAAGAGGAACUGAAUUAGAAAAAACGGGGAAGGAAGAGCAGAGUCAGAUUGUUAAAGGAUUCAAUGAGCUGUGGCCAAUGUAUUCGAAAGGUGCUUAAGGCAGCAGAGCCGCUCACCAAACACACUCGCACGCAUGCACACACACACACACACACACACACACACACACCAAGGCACCACAUACCGCCAUCACACUCACACGACCAAGACAAAGGCACAUUCAACCACAUUUGCAUUGGGACACACACCCAGAGACACACACAGGGCACAUGGACACACUAAACCCACUCUACACAUCUUCCCAUAGCCAGUACACUCUCCAAGAUGCACACGUCUAAGGUGCCAAGCAACAACAGAUACCCCAAGACACAAAAUCAUCUAUUGCAAACAGAUACACACAAAGAUACAGACACCCACAUACACAUUCUAUAGUCAUACAAAGGCACCCACCCUCACUGCUCUUGGAUCCACACAAACGUUUUCAUAUGCAAUGACUAAAUACAUAUCUAACACCUGUAUACUCACUCCCAUAACAAACUCAUCACAAAUAGAGUUCACACUUGCCAACAUCCUGUUCUCUCACCCAGACACCAUGACUGAUAUACAUAGACAUCCAGGCCCUAGGCACACCCACACCAUCACACACAGUCACCCAACACGCCCCAUGUGCCAUUAUUAACAACGAUACCACAUGUUUAUAAACAGAUUUACAGUUGACCAUUUAUUUCAGUCUAUUUAUUUCAGUCUAUUUAAGCCCCACGAUCAUUUCUGUGGAACAGGUAGCCCCAUCCUUACUUCAGAGAUGAAGCAACAAAGCUAAGGGCAGAUGAAUGAACCAUCUAAAGCCACACACCAGCAGCAGGCCAAAGCCAGGAGGCAAGCCUCCUAUUUUAAAAUUUAAAUUCCCACACACACACAGUCCUGCUCACACUCUUAUGAUCUCAGCCUCAUGCUCAUCUGCUGACACAGGUUCCCAGUCAUAUCCUGUCACCUGUUUGCAGGCGCACAGGCUCAGUCACCCCUUCCACUUCCUGGUUUCUGUUUCUCCAGCUGCUUCCUCGUCCUGCCUCUCUGAAGAGCUGGAGUUAAGGGGUGCUGACAGGACAGAGGAGGCUAGGACUCCUGCUCUCCAUUACACCUAGAACUGCAUUCCUCCCACCCUACCUCCUGGCUGCUCCAGCCCCUCCUCUAGGGCCUGGGAAAGGUGAGCUCCAGCCUCCCUCACCCCACUCUUCCCACACAUUCUAACCGAGGGGACAUUAAAAAGUGCUGACAGGGCAGGGGAGAGGCCACCUGCCUGCCUGCCAGUCAGGCCACUUUCAUCUCAGCCGCCUCCUGCCAAAGCCACCCGCCCUGGCCUGCCCUCUCCCAGGUCCUGCUUUAUUAAUCUGGCCCCAUCUGGCCAGCCAGGCCUGCCCAGGCGCCCUCACCUCCCCUCUGCUCCAGCACCAGCAGGGGAGGCUCCACUCCCUGCACCAAUCAUCCCAGGUGGCAUGGAGAGUGCCUCUUACAGUCCCAGGAAGCUCGUUCUCUGCUAGAUUUACUGCAAGAGAUAAGGUCUCCCAAGGGGCCCCCCAGACACACAGACACAUCACAGUCCUACAUUAACAUUGCACGGCAACACACACUACUACCCAUAAUGCUGGCCACACCCGCUGUUGUUGUCACAUCGAGUUAGACACAACACCCACAAUGCAGGCACACAUAAUGACACCGAGAGGAGCCUUACAAUUACCCACAGUGGCCAUCAUUUAGAGCACAUGGUCAACACAUUUACAUACAAGCACUCACAUAUAAUGAUACAAUGCAUCAACAUCACACACAAGGGCACACUAUCACCCAUCAUGUUGGUUGCCCAUAGUGAUGACUGAACAGUACCUGGCUCACAGUAGCACUUAAUAACUUAGUAUUUAUUGAAUCAAUAAGUGAUACGAUAGCAACACACUCACACACCAAAUGCACACAUACACCUCAGAGCCACAAAAAGUGGAAACCAGACCCAUUGAGAGCACCCCAAACAGCAUGUGACUGAAGUCAGAAAAGCAGACAGAAGGAGAUGGAAUGAAAGGAACUCAGCUGAGACAGGGUUGGGGACAGGGCAUUCAUUUACCUUUGACAACUGGAGAUAUCUUUUCAAAACACAAAUCUAAUCCUUGAGUGAAGAAGCCCCAGCACUCUUUAACAGCCUGUGCAGCCCUGCCAGGUGUAUGGCCCCAACUCCUGCCUGGCUGUGUUCCCCACUUCCUAUGCUCCAGCCACCUUGCUUGCUCACUCGCUCCUGCCAUGGGGCUUUGUGUAUGCUGCUCCUUCUACCUCCAACACUUCUGUCCUCUAUUCUCCUAGUUCACCUUUAGCUUUGGGCUCCAGGGCACUUCCUACCUAGGUUACAUCCCUCGUGUUACAGACUAAAUGUUUGUGUCUCCUCAAAUUCCUAUGUUGAAACCUAAUUCCCAAUGUGAUAGUAUUUGGGGGCAGGGCCUUUGGGAAGUGAUAGGUCAUAACAGUAGAGCCCUCAUGAAUGGGAUUAGUGCCCUUAUAAAAGGGACUUCAGAGAGUUCCCUCACUCCUUCCACUCUGUGAAGCCACAGUGAGAGAAUAGUCAUCUGUGACCCAAGUGCAUCCUCAUUAUAAAUCAAGUCUGUCUGUGCCUUGAUCUUAAGAUUUCCCAGCCUCUACAACUCUGAGACAUAAAGUUCUGUUUAUAAGUCACCCAGUCCAUGGUAUUUUUGUUCUAGCAGCCCAAAUGGACUAAUAUUCACUUACAAGUCCUUCUUACCAUACCACUGAUCUCCUUCAUGGUACUUCCCACAGAUAUAGUUUUCCUGCCCUCACCACUAGACUGAAAGCCCCAUGAGGGCAGGCAGUGACUGCUUUUGCUUCCAUUAACUCCCAGGACUGGUACCUAAUAGUCCUGAGGGCCUACUGUGUACUCAAUGCAUAGUAGGUGCUCAAUAAACAUCUGCUAAGCAAAUGAAUGACAAAUACAAAGCAUACAAAAGAACACUAGAGGAAUAGCUCAGCUAGAAGUUAAUUCCUAGAGCAAUAGGACUGAGAGUGAUCUGAGGAGAUUCUGAGUUUUUGCUCUUGCUGUGUGACCCUGGGCAAGUCCCUUCAUCUCUCUGGGUCUCAGUAUUUUCACCUAUAAAUGAAGGCGUCAGGGGCACCUGGGUGGCUUAGUCGGUUAUGCGUCUGCCUUCAACACAGAUCAAGGUCCCAGGGUCCUGGGAUGGAGCCCCACAUUGGGCUCCCUGCUCUACGGGGAGCCUGCUUCUCCCUCUCCCUGCCAUUCCCCCUGCUUGUGCUCUGCCAAAUAAAAUCUUUUUAAAAAAUGAAAGCAGGUACACCUGGGUGGCCCAGUGGUUGAAUGUCUGCCUUUGGCUCAGGAUGUAAUCCUGGGGUCCUGGAAUCAAGUCCCGCAUUAGGCUCCCCACAGGGGGCCUGCUCCUUCUGCCUAUGUCUCUGCCUGUCUCAGAAAUAAAAUCUUUUAAAAAAGAAAUGAAGGCAAAAAAAAAAAAAAAAAGAAAUGAAGGCAUCAAACUUUCAAUAUGUAGUCUGUGGGGCUCUAGGGGUUCUCAGGAACAUCCAAGGCUUCUAUGGGGAAGAUGCGGAAGCUUGCUGAUAAAAGCCACUUCUACUUUUAGCUCUGUGUUUUCAGAAUUGAGUAGAAGAUUCUAAAGUUUAAAAUACUCCUUAAAAAAAAAUACUCCUUGAAAUCUCUGGACGAGGUGAUUUCUGGUUCCCUUCCAGAAUAUUACAAUGCAACAAAAGCAAAAUGGUUCCCAAACAGUAAGAUACUAGAGCAUGUGCUUUUUAUCUGCAAAGUUAUUUAAGUGGACCACCCAUCUGCAGAAUCAACAGAAGAAAGAAGCAAUAAGAAGUGAAUGUGCCUAACUGGAGAAAUCCAAGAGGAGAGUUUUCAACAUCUUGUGCUGAUUCCUAACUCUGGUGACAGAUUCAAAGAGACCAAGGAGCUGAUGAGGGAGGGAUCAGGGCAUCAUAUCCCAGAAGGAAUGGUGAUCAAAGCAAUGGCCAAACAAAGGUAAGUCUGGCCUGAACUGGAGUAGCAAAAGACUAUGGGGGGAGGGAGAGAGGGGCACAGGGUGGUCCACAAGCUUCCUGAAAAAGCCCAAAUGCACUGAGGAUAGCAAACAGGAAAAAAACUCGAUGGUCAGAUCACCUCACGGGAGUGAACUUUAUCCUUGGGAAGGGAAGGAUGAAGGCACAGGAAUCACUGAGUCUGGAGGGCAGCAUAAAAAAGCCAGAUAAAUUAGAAUAGUUAUAGGACAUGGGCUAUCUGUUCUGUGUUCCUUGAGGAAGGGCAGAGGAAAUAGCCUAAACUGGGGGUUAAGAGGGAAUGGGGGUACAAAGAAAGGCUACAGAAUUGAGCCUGGAGAAAUCUGUUACUUUGUACCCAAGACGAGGAUAGUUCCUUGGGAACUCCUAGGUCAGAGAACCUCAUCUUACUUCUUCCCAUCCAUCAGCCUCACUGCUUCCUCUCUCACAAAUACACCUUCUUCAUCUGGCCUCAGAACCCUCUGUCCCUUUCUCCUUGAACUCCAAAACCUCCAGCCACCCUCACCCACUGCCUCCUUCCUUCAACGGCCCCACUGCUUGUCUCUGCCCUCCAUUCUGCUGCUGUCCUAAAGUCAUUUGCUCUGGAAGCAGUCAGCCCCUGAGCAUUUCCUCCAUCGUGUCUGACAUUGGUGAGGCCCUCCUACAAGCUCUUGGCCUGGUACCCUGGCCUGACUCUCUCUUAUGGGCAGAGGCCCAGGCUAUCUGAAGGUUUCAGUGCUUCUCCUCCACACUCUCUCAUGACCAAUGUAUCCGCAAGUGGGUCUUGAAAUUAAACCAGCAACCCCACAGGAAUGACCCUCAAAGGGGCCCUAUUUCACCUGUGUAUGGGCACUCAAUAGAUGUGGAUUACUAACUCCCAAACCUGUACUUCAGAUCUGACUUUGACUAGCAGCUCCUCACCAGACCUCUCCUGACUCCCUAUCAUCACCUUAAAUUCACCAUGAUUACUGUGUCCCAAACACCAGACGUGGGUCCCAAACCAGGCCACCUCUUCCAGAAUUCCCUCUCAGGUCAGUACCUGCCAGAUCCAACCCAGCCCUCUCUCUCUUUUUUUUUUCCCCCAGCCCACUCUCAUUCAUGCCUCUUCCCACUGGGAAUUUCCUUAUUGUUUCCACUUAUCUGCUCACUCCAACCCCAAACUCAGUCCAGUUUAUGUGCCCUUCCUGCCAUGUUUUGGCCCCACUACCCUAAGGAGUCCUCAGAUUCUCCCCCUCUCAUCCAACCUCUUCCCUGGCUGUAUAAGUAUCUUCCUAAAUAGAACAUGCCCCUCAUCCAGAGCCCCACAGCUCUCUAGCUCUGCUGCUCAGUGUCCAGACCCCUCAGCUUGGCCUUCUGGGGUUUGGUCCCAGCCUACCUUUGUGGUCACCCUUCUCUCCAGGGAACCUUGCCUCCAUCAGGAUCUGAUUCUUCCCAGGUCCCCUACAGAUGUAUGUGCUCAUUCCAAACACUCAGCACUUGCUCAACCUGCUCCAGUCUCUGGAACUGCUACUCUUCUGAGGAGUUAAAAUCUCAAGCACCCUUUCCAGCACUUCCCCUGCACAUUCUCAACUGGGAUGUGACUGCCUACUGUUAACACUCCUGGCUCCUGCCUACAAAACCCAGGCCACUGUGAUAAACAUGUCCCCCGCUGAGAACCACUGGCUGGAUCCUGUUCUCUCACCUUUCCCCCCCCACUACUUGACCCUCUCUAAAUGACCAAUAUGCCCCAGGACCUUCUUUCACUUUCCUCAAAGUCCUCAGCUUCUUGUUAAGAGGCUGUAAGAAAUAAAAAACAAUAAUAAUGGUAAUAAAUGACACCUUCUUCAAUAGCGCAUUCUAUGUGCUAGACACUGUUUUAAAUGUUUUACAUAUAUUCGUUUAAACCUCACAAACACCUAUAAGAUAGUAUUACUAUCCCCCACUUUUCAGAUGAGGAAAAUGAGGGAGAGAUUAAGUAACUUACUUAAGGUCACCUACCCAUUUAGCUAAUAAAAAGGGACAGUAGAAAACAUAGGCUUUGGGGUCAGAAAAAACUUUCUUUUCUUUUUUUUUUUUUUUU
Molecule: long non-coding RNA, 6573 nt
Filed under: Canis lupus familiaris (dog)
Lineage: Eukaryota; Metazoa; Chordata; Mammalia; Carnivora; Canidae
Description: lncRNA (ENSCAFG00000056675.1, ENSCAFG00845018224.1)
Source: RNAcentral